RNAcentral lists this ribosomal RNA (254 nucleotides) under uncultured bacterium. RNAcentral's name for it is "partial 16S ribosomal RNA". It matches the Rfam family "Bacterial small subunit ribosomal RNA", at positions 524 to 776 of the family's 1533-position model. The record is from RNAcentral. RNAcentral also lists the same sequence under 1 other name.
UACGUAGGGGGCAAGCGUUGUCCGGAUUUAUUGGGCGUAAAGAGCUCGUAGGCGGCUCAGUAAGUCGGGUGUGAAAGCCCCGAGCUCAACUCGGGGAGGCCACCCGAUACUGCUGUGGCUAGAGUCCGGUAGGGGAGCGUGGAAUUCCCGGUGUAGCGGUGAAAUGCGCAGAUAUCGGGAGGAACACCAGCGGCGAAGGCGGCGCUCUGGGCCGGAACUGACGCUGAGGAGCGAAAGCGUGGGGAGCGAACAGG